AAAACAAGUGGAUCCGGGCUUAAUUGGCUGCACAAAGACCAAGCCAGGAUGAGCAGACACGGAUUCAUCAAGCCAGGUGAAACUAAUCCUGGAUAUGUGCGCGCUCACGGCUCACUCAAACAGACCUGCCCCCGAUCACAGAUUCACCAAGGCAACUAGAGCGGCGUACUUUUCCCCGUCGGAGGCAAAAAUCCUAAUGGAGGCAUACGAGGAGGUAAAAGACAAUUAAAGCAAAGAGAAAAAGCGUGGCAAAGUAUUGCAGACCACCUAAAUGCAGUGCCACCAGCCAUGGACUGGGACAAUCCGGCAAUCUUCCCUGAUGACGCCAUUGGUCGGCUGCUGAGGGACCAAUAUAUGUUGAAUGAUUUUAGUUAGUAUGUGUGCUUUCAAUUUUGAUUAAAUAUGGCCUGCGGUGGCAGAUGAA
Molecule: long non-coding RNA, 424 nt
Organism: Tachysurus fulvidraco (yellow catfish)
Lineage: Eukaryota; Metazoa; Chordata; Actinopteri; Siluriformes; Bagridae
Exons: 2
Source: RefSeq, a predicted model, not a curated record